CCUACGGGAGGCAGCAGUGAGGAAUUUUGGUCAAUGGUCGGGAGACUGAACCAGCCAAGCCGCGUGAGGGAGGAAGGUACAGAGUAUCGUAAACCUCUUUUGUCAGGGAACAAAGACUGGGACGCGUCCCCGGAUGAGUGUACCUGAAGAAAAAGCAUCGGCAAACCCCGUGCCAGCAGCCGCGGUAAUACGGCGGAGGCGAUGGUUAUCCGGAUUUUGUGGGUUUAAAGGGUGCGCAGGCGGUCUGUUAAGUCAGCGGUCAAACCCCGGGGCACCACCCCGGCCCGCCGUUGAAACUGGCAGUCUAGAGUUGGAGAGAAGUAUGCGGAAGGCGCGGUGUAGCGGUGAAAUGCA
This 354-nucleotide ribosomal RNA is filed under the name uncultured bacterium. RNAcentral's name for it is "partial 16S ribosomal RNA". It matches the Rfam family "Bacterial small subunit ribosomal RNA", at positions 338 to 690 of the family's 1533-position model. The record is from RNAcentral.